UGGGGCUCGGGGUAUAAGACCCAUCACCCCGGUAAACCCUAAUGCUAGCCAUGUGUUCCAGCCGCCACCACCUUAUGCCCCUUUCGUCUCUGGCGCCGCCGCCCUCAUCCCGUUUCCGAUUAGCGAACCACCGAGCAGCUACUCCACUGGACUUUUGCCACUCUUCUCCUUCUCCUUUUUCAGCCGCUGCCAUAUGAGGCCUCAUCCACCACCCGCUACUUCGCCGUCGGAGCGCCAUCACCACUAUCGAUGCACCAUGUUACUGUCAUCCUUCUUCUGUUCGACGUCUCUUCACCGGCAUUACGUCUCAGCCCCGUUGGCGUCGCCGUUGCCCGUCUUCGUCGAAGACUAAGAUGCCGUCGGGCUCUAGGCUCCUAUUGCUGCUACAAACUUCCGCUCCUGCCGCCACUGAUGCCGAUCCAAGCGUCGUUGUUGCUGGUUGUUGCACCACUGACAUCGCCGCUCACCGCAUGUGGGUGAUUGGGUUUAUUUUCCGAUCAAAGGACGAGUGUUGAUGCUUUUACUACUGCUGUGCAUAUUGAGUGUGCUUUGUUUGGCCAGAAAUCACAAGAACAGCCACCACCACCACCGUGAGGUGGUGGCUGUCGCCAUAUACCACCACCGACUACCAUAAGGUUAUUAGUCUGUGUGUGUGUUUAUUCUGGGAUUUAGUGUUGUAUAUUGUAAUCGGUGAUGAAUUAAUGAAGGGAAAGCUCAUAACCACCACCGUGAGGUGGUGGUGUGCUUUUUUUGUGUUUAGACUUCGUUUGGGAUGCUUGGACAAAAAUGGACUAGAACCAUAACCACCACCGUGAGGUGGUGGCCGCCGCCGUGAGCCGCCAUUGACCAGCACUACCCGAGGUGGUAGUGGGUGGUGCCCGACUAGGGAAACCCUAAUGGGCCUAAUGAAACCCUAAUGGAUCUAAGGGCUUAGCUUUUGGGCCUAUUGGGUUAGAAACCCUAAUUAGGGUUUAGAAAACCCUAAUUUUGGAAUCAUUGGCUUGGACUAAUCGGGACCCGCAUUUUGGGCCAUUAGGAUUGGAUCAUGUAUUAAGCCCUACCACACCAAAUGAUUCACCUAAUAGAGUGAUGGACUUAAUGGAUUAAGCCCUUAAUGGGUUAAGUAUGAACACUUAACCAUAAUUGUCAUUUCAUGUGAAAACCCUAAUUUUACUUGGGCCUUGAGUUAGGCCUUUCUAUUUGGUUAUGGUGAUUGGGCUAUUGAUGGGUCAUCCGAAAAUAAUCAUAUAGACUAAGAAUAUAUGGAUGGGCUUAGGGUAAGGCUUAUGUGAGGGUUUGGGCCCAAUUUGGAAAAUUGGGCCAUAGCUGGGCCUUGAGGAUUAUGAUAGGUUGGACCAUUGGAAUGCCAAAUGUGUGGACUGGACUAAAUGGUUGGGCCUUAAGAUAAGCCCAUAUAGAGGUUUGGGUCCAAUUUGGAAAUUGGGCCAUAUGUUGGGCCUUAAUUCAUUGAUUGGUUUUGGGCCUUCAGAGUGGGUGUUUGGACCUUGGUUUUCGACCAAGUUAGGCUAAGGGUAAAAUAGUCUUUUUACCCCAACCAUGGACUUAUGGUUAUGUAUUGGAACCCAAUUAUUGUUUGGGUGUCGUUUUGAUGUUGAUAGUUCGAGAAUUUGUCAACCAACAGUUGGAGUUUUUAUCCGCAGGACUUAAGCAGUGACAGGUAUCAUUGGUUUAGAAAGGAAGGGCUCAGCUUGAUCGCAGCGCACACACCCAUGUUUUCUGCAUUAUGUGAUUUGGGACGAACUUUGAUAAAUGUUUUUAGUUAAUCAGGUUUUUGGAAUGUUUGGAUUUAGAAGAUAACUAUGUUGAUUAUAAUAAAAAUAAAAAAUUUACCCUUGAUUUU
Non-coding RNA from Lactuca sativa (garden lettuce), 1861 nucleotides. The record is from RefSeq and is a predicted model, not a curated record. NCBI's taxonomy places the organism in Eukaryota, Viridiplantae, Streptophyta, Magnoliopsida, Asterales, Asteraceae.